GUUGUUGUGGCGGAGUGGUUAAGGUGAUGGACUAAAGCUCCAUUAGAAAUCCAUCCCGUGCAGGUUCAAAUCCUGAAGACUACG
Molecule: transfer RNA, 84 nt
Filed under: Perca fluviatilis (European perch)
Lineage: Eukaryota; Metazoa; Chordata; Actinopteri; Perciformes; Percidae
Description: tRNA-Phe
Rfam family: tRNA
About the family: Transfer RNA (tRNA) molecules are approximately 80 nucleotides in length.
Source: RNAcentral